Cornus florida is the source of this 5678-nucleotide RNA transcript. RefSeq lists it as uncharacterized. Lineage: Eukaryota; Viridiplantae; Streptophyta; Magnoliopsida; Cornales; Cornaceae. The transcript has 7 exons. The record is from RefSeq and is a predicted model, not a curated record.
UGCCACGAUAACUGACACGAAAAGCGUGUUACCUUUUUUCUUUGACAUAAUUUACUUUACCUUAUGAUGACUCUCUCCCUCUCUCUCUCUACCAUCUGAAUUUGCAUCUCUCCCUCUCUCUCAAUCUGCAAUCCCUCAAUCUCUAUUCUCUCUCUCUACCAUCUGAAUUUGCAUCUCUCUCUCAGAAUCUGCAAUCCCUCAAUCUCACUGUCUGACAUCUUCUGAAUCUUCACUUUCCGUUCUUCUAUUUUAUUUGUCUCGGAUCAGACUUGGAAUAUGCCAGAGGUAUGUGUUUAAUUUUCUUCUUUAGUUUCCUCAACAACUCUUUUUAACCUCUCUGUUUUUCUGGUGCUCCCAUUUCCUGCUUUGUAUUUUGCUCUCUUACAUGCUUCUGAUUUUCCCUCACUUACUCUGUCUCUCUCUUAGUUUUUGUGUUAAAUGUGAAUUAGGCUCUCUCUUAGACCUGAAUUUGUGUCUCUCUUGUGAAUCUUUACUUUUCUUUCCCCCCAAAAAAAUAAAAUAAAAAAAUCUUCACUUUUGUUUGCCAUUCAAAAUCAAACUGUGUGUAUUUGUCUUGAAGUCUCUUUCUUUAAUUUCUUAGCUUUCUCGUUAUUGAAAAACAAAACAAAAACAAAAACACAUCCACUCUUGUUUGUUUUGAAGUCUCUUCCAUUAAUUUCUUAGCUUUUUCCUUAUCUAAGAAACAGUUCGUAAGCUUUCUGAAUUUCUGUUGGCAAUUCUGUAUUGCAUCGUCUCCUUAGAGAGAGAAGAAAAAGAAACAAAUUGAAAGUUGCUUGUGAAUUCAAAAUGGCCGACAAUAUUGCUAGUAAUAUUGUGGGAACGAUGUUGGAGCCGAUCAGAGACAGCUUGUACAAAAUCAUCAGGCGUCAAUUUGGUUAUUUGUUCCACUACAAGGAAAACAUUAAAGAUUUCGAAGAUGAAGUUAAUAAACUCAGAGACGCAAUGACAAGUGUCCAAACAAGGGUGGAUGCAGCAUUGAACAAUGCUGAAGUCGUUGAGGAUAAUGUUUCGAGGUGGCUGACCGAAGUGCAGAGCUCCUUGCAUACGAUGGAAGAAGUCAGCAACAGAUUACAGCAAGGCACAGAAAAUCUCAAGUGUAUUGAUGUAUGCUCGCGGUACCAGUUGGGUAAGGAAGGAAAAAAGAAGCAGCCUCAUGUUACCAAGCUUAUAGAGGCUGGCAAUUUUGACUCCGUUGGACACCGACCUCCUCUCACUGGUAUUUGGCACAAAACAUACAGCGUAAGAAUUUUCAAUCCAGGGAGUUGGUUUUUGAGAAGAUCAUGAAGGCACUUAAAGAUGGUCGGAAUUACAAGAUUGGGAUACAUAGAAUCCCAGGUGUUAGAAAAACAAGGAUGAUGAAGGAAGUUGCCCAACAAGCUGAUAAAGAUCAGCUUUUUGAUGAGAUUGCUGCGAUAGUUUUCACCCAGAAUCCAAAUCUGAAAGAAAUUCAACAGAAACUUGCAGAAGGUUUGAAUUUGACAUUAGAUAAAGAAUCUGAAGAAGCGAGGAAGGGUCUACUACUCAAUAGAUUAAAAGGUGGUAAGAAGAUCCUUGUAAUGAUCGAUGAUAUUUGGAAUGAUAAAAUUAAGGUGGAGGAUAUAGGAUUUCCGGUUACCAAUGAUCAUGUCAAGGGUUGCAAAAUUUUAUUCACCUCUCAGCAUCAAGAUGUGUGUAAAGAUAUGGGGGUUCCUGAAAAUGAAAAUUUUCAAAUUAGACUCUUAUCGGAAGAUGAAGCAUGGUCCCUAUUCGAGAAGAAGGUGGGAGAUUCUAUCAAACCUCAUGAUAUGCGUCUUGUAGUGGAAGUGGUGUGUAAAGAAUGUGCAUGUUUGCCCUUUGGCAAUACUUGCAGUUGGAGGAGCAUUAAAGAAUAAGACUAAGCAUAUAUGGGAAGAUGCACUUGAACAUUUGAGAAAUUCCACGGGAGAGAACAUUGAAGAUGCUGAUAUUUCUAUAGAUGACUUGGUGAGCUAUGGAUUUGGAAUGAGGCUUCUCCGAUGCGUGGAUACAAUGAAAACAGCUAGGAAUAGAGCUCAUACAAUUGUCGAUACCCUCAAGAGAUAUUCUCUGCUAUUAGAAGGUAGAAACAAAAACUUCUUGAAAAUGCACGAUGUCAUUCGAGAUGUGGCUAUAUCAAUUUCAUCAAAAGAAGAUGUCAUGUAUCUAGUGAAAGUAGGUGUGGAAAAGUGGCCGGAGGAGGAUGAAAGUAAAAGAUGCAGAGGAAUCUCAUUAAGGUUCAACAAGGAUUUUGUGCUUCCCGUUCAUUCAGAAUGUCCGGAACUGCGCACGUUAAUGCUGGAAUGCGUCGGUGGUUUAUCAAAAGUUCCGAGUAGCUUUCUUGAAGGGAUGAAGAAGCUUGAAGUUUUACAUUUGCGUGGCAUGUGCAUCUCGACAGUACCAAUAUCGUCACUUCAAAAUCUUCGGAUGUUACGGCUACACUACUGCAAAUUGGUGAACCUAGCUUUUCUCAAGGAGUUACAAAAACCUGAGAUACUAAGCAUUCUAAAUUUUUCUAAUGUGGAUAUAGGAAUGACUCUGGAUAUAGGAAAGUCGUCUAGUCUGCGCUCUUUGAAUGUGAUAGGCUUUGUCAAUCUCCAAAUCCUUCCAGGUGUCAUAUCAAGUCUAUCCCACCUUGAGGAAUUUCAAGUUACAAACUUUAGACAAUGGGAGAUUGAAGGCAAUGCAAGCCUGGUUGAACUAAAUUCAUUGACUCGCUUAAUCAGUUUACAAGUUGAUGUGCCAAAUGUCAAGUUACUGCCCAUCAAUGACCUCCUGUCUAAGUCGUUAAUCAGAUUUCAAAUAUCCAUUGGCCAGGGAUUACACUUUUAUUGCUUUUGACCGCACUUCAUCUAGAAAAAAUUUGGCAACUGCAACAAAGAUAUUGAAACUAAAGGGAAUUCCUUUGAAGAGGGAGCUUCACAUUUUGAUGGAGAAAGCUGAAGUGCUAUGUUUAGAAGGACUGGAAAUUUUAAAGAAUGUGAGUCAGGACAGAGAUGGAGAGGGGUUUCUAGACUUGAAGUUUCUUGGAGUUGAGUAUUGUGAGGGGAUAGAACAUUUAUUUGGCAGACCAAAUUGGAAUUCACAGACCAUCGGAUCACGUGUGUCUUGUUCUUUUAGUAAAUUAAGUAUUUUACAAGUAUUCAAGUGUCCGUCGAGAUAUCUCUUCUCCGCAGCCGCAGCAAGAGGCCUUCUGCAACUCCAAGAAUUAAAGAUAUGGAACUGUGAAAACUUGGAAGAAAUAGUUGGAGAUGACAAUUAAUGAAAUCAUGAAUAAUGUUUUUACUUUUCAUCAAUUAAAGAAUAUGAGGUUGGAGUAUCUACCAAAACUGAGAAGCUUCAAUGCCAAUACGAAGAAGACGUCAGCUGAAGAAUGCAAUGUGUCCGGCCUUGCACAACUGUUUAAUGAUAAGGUUGAAUUUCCUAUCUUGGAUAGAUUGAUACUGAGUGAUGAGAGCAUCUUCGAAGGUACAUGCCAUGUCCUUCCCUUUUGCAAAGUACCAAAAUCCCUGGAGGUGCACAACUGCAGAAACUUAGUAAAUGUUUAUACCCUGCUACAGCGGUUUGAGACUACUCAAUUGACACUGGUGGAUUUACCUAAAUUGGAGCGUAAUUGGAUAAUGGAACCCCAGGGGCAUCUGGUAUUUCACAACCUAACAAAAUUGACAGUAGAAAAAUUGGGACUGAAGUGUCUAUUCUCACUCUCAAUGGCAAAAAGUCUCGCACAACUCAGGGAUCUAAGAAUUCAAAAUUGUGGUGUGAUGGAAGAAAUACUUAAAAACCAAGGAGGAGGAGGAGGAGAAAAUGCCACGGAUGAAAUUGAGUUCUCUCAGCUAGGGCAUCUGAUACUUUCAUAUCUACCAAACCUCACAUGUUUUUGUCAGGCAAACAAUGCUUUUAAAUUCCCAUCUUUGACGCGUGUUGAUAUAAACGUGUGUCCGGAAUUGAAGACUUUCACGUCUGGAUACUUAAGCACACCGGAUAUACUAGUAUACAAAGAUUGGAAGUUUAGUCGUGUAAGUGACCUUAAUAAUCAUGUGCAACAAUUUCCGAAAGGAAAGGGAGUAGCAGUGGAGGAUAAUAAUGAUGCAGAAACAAGUUAAGAAGAGGGAGAAACCACGAUGACCAUAUUCGCUAAAUCAGUAAAUAAGGUUGAAUUUCCUAUCUUGGAUAGAUUAAUACUGAGUGAUGAGAGCAUCACAGAAGAUACUUGCCAUGUCCUUCCCUUUUGCAAAGUAAUAAGAUCCCUGGAGGUGCGCAACUGCAGCAACUUAGUAAAUGUUUCUACCCAGCUGCUACAGCGGUUUGAGAAUAUCCAAAUGCUCACUCUACAAUCUUGUUACUCAUUGGAGGUUAUCUUCAACCUUGAACGACUGCGGGUGUUUCACAGCCUAACAUCUUUGACAGUUGAAAGAUGCAACAGGCUGACGUAUCUAUUCUUACUCUCAAUAACAAGAAGUCUCACACAACUCAGGGAUCUAAGAAUUGAAUAUUGUGAUGUGAUGGAAGAAAUACUUAAAAAUGAAGAACAAGAUGCCACCGAUGAAAUUGUGUUCUCUCAGCUACGGUAUCUGUGGCUUUCAUGUCUACCAAACCUCACAUGUUUUUGUCAGGCAAACAAUGCUUUUAAAUUCCCAUCCUUGAUCCAUGUUGAUAUAAAAUACUGUCGGAAAUUGAAGACUUUCACAUCUGGAUACUUAAGCAUACCGGAUAUAAAAGUAUCCAGAAAUUGGAAGUCAAGUCGUGUAAGUGACCUUAAUAAUCGUAUGCAACAAUUUCUGAAAGGAAAGGUAACUACGUACAUUUGCUUUUGUCCUUAGCAGAAGACAUCACUUGGUUAAUACUUUUCAUUUAAUUUAUAUUAUUUUGGAUAAGUUUUUCUAUUAUAUACAUUCUCAUUUUUCAACAUUGUCUACCCCUCUGACUCUGCCACCGUGUAUUAUAUAAGUAUAUAUAAUUUCAUUAAAUCAGUUAUAUUUUAUUUUAUUAUUUCAUGAAUAUCUUACAUAACCUUACAUGUUUUUGUCAAGCAAACAAUACUUUUAAAUUCCCAUCCUAGACAACCGUUAAAAUACACGAGUGUCCGGAAUUGAAAACUUUCACAUUUGGAUACAUAAGCACACUGGAUGCACAAAUAAGCAUAAAUUUUAGGUCAAGUCGUGUAGGUGACCUUAAUAAUCAUGUGCAGCAAUCUCGGAAAGGAAAGGGACUAGUGGUGGUGGAUAAUAAUGAUGAAGAAAUAAGUUAAAAAGGGCGAAACCACGAUUACCAUAUUCCACUAAAUCAGUAAAUAAGGUGCAUCUAAAUUCUUGUGGGACCAGUUUAAAUCAAUGGUAGCAUUAAAAGUUGAAACUGGUAGCAUUAAUCAGAAAGUCUCAGAAAUACAGAGUUGGUGGAUCCAAUCAAAUGGGUUGUCUUACAAUUGCUAGUAUUUUGAAUUACCAAUUUGAAGAGGCAUUGAAUUAUGACGUGCUUCCAACUUUGGAAUUAUAGUUCAUUAUUUAUUUAUUUUUUGUUUGUCAUUUUUUUUUUAUUAUUAUUUUUUGUUCUAACAAAGAACUCACCACCUGCAAUGCUGUCGAGGAGAUUAGUGCUUUCUUUCUUUCACUCCAAAGAGUAGAGGUGAUAUCAUAAAACGGAAGCAAGAGUACUAGGAGCGCGAA